CCUCCAAUGGGUCAGUUGGGAGAGCGUUAGACACUGAAGAUCUAAAGGUCCCUGGUUCAAUCCCGGGUUUUAGUU
Non-coding RNA from Cordylochernes scorpioides, 75 nucleotides. NCBI's taxonomy places the organism in Eukaryota, Metazoa, Arthropoda, Arachnida, Pseudoscorpiones, Chernetidae. The record is from the annotation of a GenBank genome assembly.